UGAACCUGCGGAAGGAUCAU
This 20-nucleotide non-coding RNA is filed under the name Penaeus monodon (black tiger shrimp). The record is from RNAcentral. Lineage: Eukaryota; Metazoa; Arthropoda; Malacostraca; Decapoda; Penaeidae. RNAcentral also lists the same sequence under 12 other names.